Molecule: long non-coding RNA, 830 nt
Organism: Phragmites australis (common reed)
Lineage: Eukaryota; Viridiplantae; Streptophyta; Magnoliopsida; Poales; Poaceae
Exons: 2
Source: RefSeq, a predicted model, not a curated record
UGAGUAUAGGACUCGCUAGCCCUGAAUGAUGAACACAUGCGCCACCUGUUACCUCGACGAGCCGUCCUACUGUUUGACACGCUUGACGCUUCCUUGUUCUUGGGUCGCCUUGGCUCGUUGUUUACAAGGUGUGGAGAAGGUGGAGUACUGACAUGGCAUGUGAGUCGGGAUGACAUUGGAGCAAUCAUUCGCACAAGGUUAGCCAUGCGUCCAGAAUUAGCUGUUCCUUAAGCUGACGGAUGACAAGCACUUCUAGCAUCUCUCCUACUUUUGCUUCUCUGAAAACAACCUUUCGUCUGCUGCUGUUUCAGAAAACCUGAAACGUCCUGACAGCAUCUGUGUACUUGAAGCUUUGUAUAUUUUUUUGUUUGAUCCAUCCUUUUCUCUUCCUGCAUGUGUUGCAUGCCUGUAUAUGGUUGAAGUUAACAUGCACACAGUCUUGCUUUCAUGGAAGUGUCAGUUCUAUGAAGAAGCAACCGUGCAAUCCUCAGCCAAGCAACAGUGGUAAUCUGGUCCCUUGUGAUUACUUUCUGGCUCGAGCUUUCUCCAGGGAGAAGAGAACUUUCUGCAUCUGAUAACUCUUUGCUGAUUGCAAGAAAGUAGUUGGUUUUUUUGGAUGAAACCGUCUGCCUGAACUUACCCUCUCCAAAAACAGGCACCUGGCUAGCUGUGGCUUUGGCUUCAACGCACUGAAAACUAGUCGAUUACAAUCUGUUCUGUGGUGAAGUGAAACAACUUGUUCUCUGUAUUCUCUUUUUCUUUGAUCAAUGUACUGUUGUAAAAAUAAAUUUCUGCAUGAAACAGCAACGCUGAACUCUUUAGAUUAUUAA